Acanthochromis polyacanthus (spiny chromis) is the source of this 2760-nucleotide long non-coding RNA. RefSeq lists it as uncharacterized. The transcript is spliced from 4 exons. The record is from RefSeq and is a predicted model, not a curated record. Lineage: Eukaryota; Metazoa; Chordata; Actinopteri; Pomacentridae.
UGAGGGUGAGAGAGAGAGAGAGGGGGUGAGAGAGAGAGAGCGAGAGAGAGAGAGAGAGAGAGAGGAGGGGACCGGCGACGCAGCAGCUCCGCGCAUACUGUCAUCCGAGACGCAUGAGGAGAUGUUGGGGAAGCGGGAGGAGCAGCAGCAGCAGGAGGAUGCUGGCAGCAGAAUCGCCUCGGCCUUGGCAAAAGUAACACGCUGUGUGUGUGUGCGUAAUUUACCACCCGCAAAUUAACACACUUUUUAACGGGUUGGAUCAACGCAGUGUGCGGGUUCAAUCUCAAUUUUUCUCACUGGACUUUGGGCUCUGUUUGGUCACACUUGAGAGAUGACUGGUAGAAACUUGUCUUUUUUUGGGUACUGAAAGGACUUGAACCGGAGAUGCGGGAUUUACGCAAAGUUUGUGGCUUGAAUCUGUGGAGAGUAAAUGCAGUCACACAGAAACACACACACACCUCAUGUGAGGGCCUGCAGCUGGACAUCAGGACAGCAGGUCAGAGGAGACACUCGCUGCCUGGUGCCCCGAGGAGCAAAGGUGACCGACUGGGUCAGAAAGAGGCUUCGUCCCUCCAGAGUCGCAGCAGGAAGAGGAGGAGGAGGAGGAGGCAGUGGAGGAGGAAAAAGAGAAGCAGAGUGGGUGGAAGAAUGGAAGGAGAGAAGGAUAGAAGCAGUUCGAGGAGGUGGUUCGAAGCGGGUGAACCCAGAGCAGGUGAACGCAGCUGUGGAUCGCCAUGGGCUCUCUGGCUGCCUUCCUCUUGUGGCCCCGGUGCUGCAUACAGGGGUCCCGGGGAGCCAGCAGGGGCCAGCCAAAGCUGCGGCAGAGUGGGCAGGCUAGGCCAGCCAAGCCAGGAGAGAGGCAGGUGAGGCGGGUGAGCCAAGCUCUCAUUCCCGCCGGCUAGGAGCCUCCUCGGCAGAGUGGAGCAGCGCGGAGCAGCAGAAAUCAAUACAGAGGAGAGAGGCUAGCAGAGGUUGCCCAGCACCGCCUGCAGGCCUCGGAGCCCAGGGACCAACCACCACUGCUCCCAGCUCCUCUCUCCAUCUCUCUUUCUAUCUUUCUCCAGCAGUCCCAGCACCAGCCAGGGCCAGGGCCCUAACCUUGCAAGCACCCCACACGCAGUGUGUGUGUCAGUACAUGCACAUGUGCGUGUGAAACAGAGAAAAAGGGAGAGGGAAGAGACAGAGAAACAGUCUUUGUGUGUGGUUCAGCCGGAGGGUUUUUCUCGCGUCCAACACCACUUGAUAAAACUUUGUCAGAGAGACAUGGAGACAGCAAGGGAGGGAGCGAAACGGUGUAAGAAUGAGACAGGACGUCGGAGGUCUCUUUUCUUCCAGCUCCCUCCCUCCUAUUACUCAUUCCACCUUAACAGCUUGAAUAAGGAUCCAUCUGAGAUGUAGCCAACACGGAACGUUUCUGCUCAGUCCCACUUCCAAGCACGUAGCGCACAAUAUUCCGAAGAUCUCAUGAGCCAGGAUGAAAGGACAAUUUGAACUUUUUCUCUCAUCCACUAUAUCAGACACAACCUGUCUUUUCGCCUUAGAUUUUCUUGCCCUCACUACAGCAGCUCCCAUCAGAGGAUAUGGCAGUGCAGUAUUGAUCUAUAAGGUGGAAGGCAGGAAGGCGGGCCUGGGCUUUCAUACCUCUCUCACUACGUGUGGGGAAAUAGCACCUGAAGUCCACUUACUGCUGUGCAGCAGGGAUCCCAUGGCAGCGCAAGUGAAUGGCUGCUAAUUGAAUGAGAGAUAAAAAAGACAGUAGUUUCACCUGUGCAGUGCUCCCUCCUCCUGUCUGAUUGCUACUUAGACUUUUCUCUCCACCACAUAUACAAAAGUCCUGGUUCACACAAAGAGAUGUUUUAGCAAAAUUGCUAAAGAAAACUUGCAAAAUAAUCACAAAUGAGAAGACCUGGUUUCCCAUCAGUGUAGACAUGAACCACUUCAGAAAAAAAGAAGAGAGAAGAAACAAGCAUAUGUUUAAUGCAGUGAUAGAAACCUCCGAGUGAAACUUAAGUUCUGAGGCCUUGUCACAAAACAUAUUGUGCAUGUUUGAGAUCUGGAAUGGCACUAGAAGACAGAUGGACAGUUUCCUGAGCAUGAAAACUUACAGAGAUCACAAUGGGAUUCUUCUUCGUCUUGAUGCAGUCAGAAAUGCCACCGUGAAGAGGAAAAACGGCGAUCAAGCUUCCAUCAUUAGGCCCGAAUAACAAAGCGCACACGCUAUCUGUAGCCAGUUUCUUAGAACAUGUUUAGCCUUGGCUACAUAUGGAAACCGCCGCCUCUGCACCUGCAAGAACAGCCAGUUAGACACACAUCAUUAGAGUCUGAUUGUCAGCGGUCUUUGUGGACGCGAGCAGGUAAGUCAGAGCCGUUUCUAAAAGGUAAGUGUAGAGGUUGAAUCAAUUUAAGAGCUGUCUAAAGUGUAAAAUGGAGCCGCCGAACAAUAUUUUCCAAAAUUAGUUUCAUUAGAUAUGAAUUACUAUAUUUGAGACCAAUUUUAGGUCGGAGAUUGGAUGAGACCCCAAGGGGUCCCUCUUUUCACUUAGUAAUUUACAUUCAAGUAUUUGACUGUAAAAUUGUUCAAGAGUUUGUAGCGGUUGAAUUACUUUCCACUUUUUGUGUACACAUACGAAUUUAUACAAUCUUUCUGACAGUGUAAUCAACUAAUUUAUCAUGAAAGAGCGAAUGAGAUUGCGAUAUUAUGAAAGUGUUGUUUUGAUAUGGUAUAUAUGCUCAAUAAAGUUGAUCCAUGUGAAAUGAAAA